GGGGGCGACCUGGUUUCGACGGGAUGACGAAGACCAUUGGCUGCAUGUAGUGUUUUCCCAAAAUCACUUUAAAAAAUUGGACGCCAAUUAUAAACGGCGAAUCUAACUACGCACUAGCUGCUUAAUUAAAUAGUAGCUCGUUCCUU
This 146-nucleotide transfer-messenger RNA is filed under the name Fidelibacterota bacterium. Its description in RNAcentral is "partial transfer-messenger RNA". It matches the Rfam family "transfer-messenger RNA", at positions 1 to 145 of the family's 374-position model. Rfam says of the family: Bacterial tmRNA, also known as 10Sa RNA or SsrA, is named for its dual tRNA and mRNA-like properties. The record is from RNAcentral. Lineage: Bacteria; Pseudomonadati; Fidelibacterota.